UACGGGGGGUGCAAGCGUUGUUCGGAAUCAUUGGGCGUAAAGGGCGUGCAGGCGGCCAGAUAAGUCAGAUGUGAAAUCCCUGGGCUUAACCCAGGAAGUGCAUUUGAAACUGUUUGGCUUGAGUAAGGGAGAGGAAAGUGGAAUUCCUGGUGUAGAGGUGAAAUUCGUAGAUAUCAGGAGGAACACCCGUGGCGAAGGCGACUUUCUGGCCCUAUACUGACGCUGAGACGCGAAAGCGUGGGUAG
RNAcentral lists this ribosomal RNA (245 nucleotides) under uncultured bacterium. RNAcentral's name for it is "partial 16S ribosomal RNA". It matches the Rfam family "Bacterial small subunit ribosomal RNA", at positions 524 to 768 of the family's 1533-position model. The record is from RNAcentral.